GACGAACGCUGGCGGCGUGCCUAAUACAUGCAAGUAGAACGCUGAAGGAGGAGCUUGCUUCUCUGGAUGAGUUGCGAACGGGUGAGUAACGCGUAGGUAACCUGCCUGGUAGCGGGGGAUAACUAUUGGAAACGAUAGCUAAUACCGCAUAAGAGUAGAUGUUGCAUGACAUUUGCUUAAAAGGUGCAAUUGCAUCACUACCAGAUGGACCUGCGUUGUAUUAGCUAGUUGGUGGGGUAACGGCUCACCAAGGCGACGAUACAUAGCCGACCUGAGAGGGUGAUCGGCCACACUGGGACUGAGACACGGCCCAGACUCCUACGGGAGGCAGCAGUAGGGAAUCUUCGGCAAUGGACGGAAGUCUGACCGAGCAACGCCGCGUGAGUGAAGAAGGUUUUCGGAUCGUAAAGCUCUGUUGUAAGAGAAGAACGAGUGUGAGAGUGGAAAGUUCACACUGUGACGGUAUCUUACCAGAAAGGGACGGCUAACUACGUGCCAGCAGCCGCGGUAAUACGUAGGUCCCGAGCGUUGUCCGGAUUUAUUGGGCGUAAAGCGAGCGCAGGCGGUUAGAUAAGUCUGAAGUUAAAGGCUGUGGCUUAACCAUAGUACGCUUUGGAAACUGUUUAACUUGAGUGCAAGGGGGGAGAGUGGAAUUCCAUGUGUAGCGGUGAAAUGCGUAGAUAUAUGGAGGAACACCGGUGGCGAAAGCGGCUCUCUGGCUUGUAACUGACGCUGAGGCUCGAAAGCGUGGGGGAGCAAACAGG
This 764-nucleotide ribosomal RNA is filed under the name uncultured Streptococcus sp. RNAcentral describes it as "bacterial SSU rRNA". It matches the Rfam family "Bacterial small subunit ribosomal RNA", at positions 28 to 776 of the family's 1533-position model. The record is from RNAcentral. Lineage: Bacteria; Bacillati; Bacillota; Bacilli; Lactobacillales; Streptococcaceae.